AACGAACGCUGGCGGCAUGCCUAACACAUGCAAGUCGAACGAGACCUUCGGGCCUAGUGGCGCACGGGGGGGUAAAGCGGGGGAACCUGCCCUUAAGUUCGGAAUAACUCCCCGAAAGAGGUGCUAAUACCGGAGAAUGUACUCCGAACAAAGAGUUAUUGCCAUUGGAUGGGCCUGGGUUGGCUUAGCUGGUUGGUAGGGUAAAAGCCUAUCAGGGGGAGGUUGCGUAGCUGGUGUGAGAGGAUGAGCCGCCACGCUGGGGCUAGGCCACGGCCCAGAAUCCUACGCGAGGGAGCAGUGGGUAAUACUGGACUGUGGGCGAUGGCCUGAUCCAGCUCUGCCGCGUAAGUGAUGAAGGCCGUAGGGAUGUGCAGCUCUUUUACACGGUGCGAUAUUGACGGUACCGGGAGAAUAAGCACCGGCUAACUCCGUG
Molecule: ribosomal RNA, 433 nt
Filed under: uncultured bacterium
Lineage: Bacteria
Description: partial 16S ribosomal RNA
Rfam family: Bacterial small subunit ribosomal RNA
Source: RNAcentral